GAUGAACGCUGGCGGCGUGCCUAAUACAUGCAAGUCGAGCGAACAGACGAGGAGCUUGCUCCUCUGACGUUAGCGGCGGACGGGUGAGUAACACGUGGAUAACCUACCUAUAAGUCUGGGAUAACUUUGGGAAACCGGAGCUAAUACCGGAUAAUAUAUUGAUCCGCAUGGUUCAAUAGUGAAAGACGGUUUUGCUGUCACUUAUAGAUGGAUCCGCGCCGCAUUAGCUAGUUGGUAAGGUAACGGCUUACCAAGGCGACGAUGCGUAGCCGACCUGAGAGGGUGAUCGGCCACACUGGAACUGAGACACGCUCCAGACUCCUACGGGAGGGAGCAGUAGGGAAUCUUCCGCAAUGGGCGAAAGCCUGACGGAGCAACGCCGCGUGAGUGAUGAAGGUCUUCGGAUCGUAAAACUCUGUUAUUAGGGAAGAACAAAUGUGUAAGUAACUAUGCACGUCUUGACGGUACCUAAUCAGAAAGCCCCGGCUAACUACGUG
This 497-nucleotide ribosomal RNA is filed under the name uncultured bacterium. Its description in RNAcentral is "partial 16S ribosomal RNA". It matches the Rfam family "Bacterial small subunit ribosomal RNA", at positions 28 to 507 of the family's 1533-position model. The record is from RNAcentral.